AUAAGAUGUCUAGUCUUUCCACACUUGAAGCAUUUCUUCUCAAAACUCAUAUAGUCAUUGGCCCGAUGACCUGUUACCCCACACUUAAAGUACUUGAUUAAAGCGAGAGUCUCUCCCCCAUUUGGAAUUUUAUCAUCUAAAUCUUUAUGCUUCCCUUUAUCAGUUGUAUCAUUGUAUGGUUUUCCAUAAAACUGAUUAUUCCUUUUCUUCUUGUUAAGACUCUUGUAAUGAGUAGAACGAGCUCUACAAUCCUCAUCAUAUAUCUUGCAUUUAUUCACCGACAUAGGAAAAUGGAGAAUCUUUUGAUAGCCAAUAUCUUGCUUGAUCUCGGGACGCAAUUUUCUUUCGAACUUGAUACAUUUUGACCCCUCAGCAGCCAUACCAUUGUAGUAUGGACAAAACUUCACCAGCUCUUCGAACUUAGCAGCAUGCUUAGCAAUUGUCAUAUUUCCCUCCUUUAGCUCAAGGAACCCAAUCUCCUUCUUACUAUACACGUCCUCUAAAAAAUACUUCUCCAAAAAUUUAGCCCUGAGCACAGCCUAAGUAGUCUCAAUACAACAACCUCUAGUCUCUAACGUGCAUUAUCCCACCAGUCUUCGGCCUCUUCAGACAACUUGUGUGCACCGAACUUCACCUUCUGAACUUUAGUGCAAUCCAUCACUCGAAAAAUACCUCAAUCUCUCUGAGCCAUAUUUGUGCACCCUCUGGAUCAUAUCUUCCCUUGAAGGUCGGAAGAUUGUUUCUCUGAAUCUUCUAUAAUCCACGAAACUCAUCACCAACCUGAUUUUGGUGACCUUGCAGCGCCCGAGCCAUUGCUUUCGAAGCAUCAACAAUCGCUCGGUCGUUUCUUCCUCCUGCCAUAUUCUGAAUACCAGUAAACAGACAUUAGAAGAAAUAUUGCAUCGACAACGUUCACACACUCGUCACAUACUAAGGAACAUAUAUAACAUUACAAAAACCUGGUUGGAUGGAAUGACAUGCUUUGAUACCACUAAUUGUAACACCAUAAACCCCAAAACUUAUGUAAAAAUAAUUACUCGACAAUUUAAGGUUUCGCCAACGACAUCCCUUCAAAACUCAUCAAAAACAUGUGACAACACGCAACGAAAAAUAAUUUCAUAACAACUUCAUAAAUAAAGUAUUGAAAUUUAAAACACCAAAUUCAACAUUAAAUCAAAAAUAUAACAAACGCCUUGUUCCCGAUAUUACAAUAUCAGAGCACUAAAAACCACUAAUAUACGAUAAAGCGGUAAAUAAAACAAAGUAUAGCUCCAAAAAUACACCUUCCACACAUAACAACAACUUUAAUACUGAGUAUCUGCAAGAUGUCUACGGUGGAUAACAUUAAGCAAAAGGGUGAGAAACAAAUUCAAUAUGAAUGGUGUAAAGAAUGCGAAGGUAGAGAAAUACACAACUUAUCAUACAUCCAAUACAUAAUCAACAAAUCAUAAUCACACAUCCAUUCACAAUAAUAUGCACAUAUAUAUGUAAUGCGACUUACGAUACAAUGUGACACUUAUGCAUGUGGUACCAUCUCAACAUUUGGUUCUCUUUGGAAUCGGGUCCCUCCUUAUGAACCCAUGAGCCCCCAUUUUGAGCUUGGGACAAGCCACUAGUCCCCCCUUCUAAACUAGUUAAUAUGUAUCUUUCAACGACAUGGCACAAUGAUGCAUGUCCAUACAAAUCAAUGCAACAACAAUAAUAACACUUACGGCCUCUUCUAACCAUAAACAACAUGCAUUGACACACAAUAGUAAUCCCUUUUCUGAAUUACUAUCCAUCAAUAACACCAACAAUACAUAAUUAAUCACCAUAUAGUCAUGCAUUUUAUAACAAUAUGAAUCAUAUCCACAUCAUAUAACAACACAAAACAGCAUCAUACGCAUCUCAUACCAUUGCUACAUAUAAACAACAACAGGUAAGUAAGGAAAUUACCAAUGAACAACAAUAAUUCCACCAUAAUUAAUUAAAUUCAUGACAAUUAAUUAACUACUGACACCAAAAUGUUCAAAUAGUAGUCAUACAUCACCCAAACAACAAUAACACCUCAAAAGUCUGAACUGACAACUCAGACCAUGCAACAGGAACGACAAUGCCCCUUCUGACAACAUGACGGGUGAUCCGGCAUCCUGGUGACGCUCGUCACAUGCUUACAACUCCCAUGCCGUCAUCAUAGUGAAAAUCGUCUUGGAAAACCAAGCCUGGAGACCAUGACGAUCUCCCUGUCAUAGAGCUGACGCCCGUCAGCAUCUCAAGGUGCAUGAUGGGUAACUCGUCAUCUGGGUGACGCCCGUCACCCUGCACCAGAAGGAAAAAACACUAAUUCUUCCAUGAGAGUUACCUUGAACUUUGAUUUAUGAUCCCUAAUCAUUCCCACACGCCCAAAAAAUGAUAAUGCAUGUAAUAACAUCAUUAUAACAUACCAAAUCAUUGAAUUACACAAAUUAUUCAUGAACUUCAACACAUUCAUGUUUAUGUUCAAACCUUCAACAACCCCAACAAUGACAUACAAACAUAUACACAUAAACAUAAUCAUAUAUACACAAAUCAAAUCACGAAAUUUAGAUGAACACACCUUUAAUUAUCAAUUUCCAGAACCACAUAUAACAACAACAAUUCAUAAGCAUUUCACAUAAUUCCUAAAGAGAGUAAGAGUAUCUCUUCUCUAUCUUUUCAUGCAAUACAUGCAUAUAGAAGCCCCCUCCCCCCCUUUAUGUUAGGUUCCUUGCAAAAAUCUGAAUUGGUGAUGGUGUGUUCUUCCCUUUCCAAGCCCUAGUCUCAUUUGCUCUUCCAAACUCUAUUUAACGUACUGACAACCCUUAGGUCUCUAAUCCGUUUUUAUCUAAUUUAAUCUUUAGGUAAUUAUACUAAGACCCAAUUCUUUUUAAAAUUUUCACUAUUUCCCUUUUGUUCCUAUUUUCCACCCAUAAACUUAUAUUUCUAUUUAUUUUAAUUAAUUAAUAAAAACAAUUAUUCAUUCUAAUUAUUUAUAAUUAUUCUAAUUCUCCUAAUCCUUCUAUCACCCCAUCAAUGCUCUCACCACACCCUACCACAUAUACAUACCACUCAAUAUAUUUAAUUAAAAAUAUAUCACAUACUAAAUAAUUAAAUAAAAAUACGAAUAAUCUGACUAAAUCAAUUAAUCAAAUCUAGGGGUGUUACAUAGUUGAAGAAGAAGAAGAAGAUGAAAGUGAUACACAGUCUGAUUAUCUGUUGAACACCAACAGUGAAGAUGGUAAUCAUCAAGCGCCAUUACCUCCAAGUCACGUAUAUUGUCUACCACAAUAUAUGACAAACUUGAACUUGAAUGGUGAUGAGUCAUCCUCUAAUAUUUUUUACAAUCCAUAUAUGCGGUUAGAGGGUGAGUUAAAAGUGGGAGACAGGUUCCACACUAAAGAAGAGUGAAUGUGAGCUAUCAAAAAAUUUCACAUGGAGAACUCUGUUGAUUAUACCGUAGAUCACACUAAUGCAAGAAGAUAUGUCAUUCUUUGUCGUAAUGUGCUUUGCAUGUUUCGACUAGCACCGUCUUACAGGAAGAUAAUUGAUUCAUGGGAGAUAAGUUAUAUACAUUUAUCUCACAAUUGAACCGCCACUAUUAUUGCACAUGAUCACCAUAAAUUAAACUCUAAAAUAAUAUGUCAAGACAUUUUGUCUUUUGUUAGCAAGGAGCCAUCAAUGAAGGUAAGUAUACUAAUCUUUCAUAUUGUUACAUGAUAUAAUUAUAAUCCCUCAUACAAGAAAGUGUGGAUUGCAAGAAAAAAUGCUAUUGAACGAGUAUACGAAAAUUAGAAGGAUUCGUACAAAAAAAAAUCCACAAUAAUUGGUGACACUUAAGACAUAUACUCUGGGAACUGUUACAAUUUUGAAGACACGGUCGGCAUAUACGCCGUACAGAACUUGUGUCAGUGGAAAUAUAAUAUUUCAUCGAUUCUUUUUAGGCAUUUCAACCAUGCAUCAAAGAUUUUGCGUUUUGCAAACUUAUUCCUAAAAUUGAUGGAACAUGGUUGUACGGGAAAUACAAGGGCACAUUACUUAUGACAGGGGCACAAGACGACAACAAUAAUAUAUUUCCCAUUGCCUUCGCUCUGAUUGAAGGUGAGACUUUGAGUGGUUAGAGUUUCUUUCUCAAGAAUCUCAUAACAUAUGUUGCUCCACAAUCCAACCUCUGUUUGAUUUCAGACAGACAUGCAUCUAUUGAGAGUGUGUAUAAUAAUCCUGAGAAUGGAUGACAAAAUCCUCCUUCUAGCCAUGUCUACUGCAUUAGACAUAUUGCACAAAACUUCAUGCGAGAAAUCAGAGACAAGAACCUUUGGAAAAAAUGUUGUGAUUGUAGUGUACUCCCUCCGUCCCAUAUUAUAAGCAAAUUUCACCUUUCUAGAUUCAUUAAAUAAUUAAUGUAUCUGGUUUAUUAUAUAGAUCAGAUACAUUAAUUAUUUAAUGAAUCUAAAAAGGUGAAAUUUACAAAUUUCACCUUUCUAGAUUCAUUAAAUAAUUAAUGUAUCUGGUUUAUUAUAUAGAUCAGAUACAUUAAUUAUUUAAUGAAUCUAAAAAGGUGAAAUUUGCUUAUAAUAUGGGACGGAGGGAGUAUGCUUUAAUUCAGCCAUCAUUCCGACACUAUCGUAGGGAAAUUAGAUUGUCAAAUGCGGAUGCAUUAAUGUGUGUGGAUAACAUUCCAUUGGAGAAGUGGAUAAUGGAAUUUGACGAAGGACGCCGAUGGGGCCACAUGACAAUAAACCUUGUUCAGUCCAUGAACAACUUCUUCAAAGACAUUAGAAACCUAUCAAUAAUCGCGUUGGUGAGAGCAAUAUAUUUUAGGUUGGGAUCACUUUUUACAUCCAUAGGCAAAAAAUGGAGUUCGGUGUUACGGUUGAGACAAUUAUUCAGUAAAAGUUGCAUGAAAGUGAUGAAGGGGGAAACUAUCAAAGCUAGCACACAUGGGGUUACAAUCUUUGACCGUCGUAGACACAGUUUUAGUGUAAAAGAAAUAAUGGACCACAAUGAGGGGAGGCCGAAUGAAGACUAUCAGAUCGAACUAAAUAGAGGUUGGUGCGAUUGUGGCAAGUUUCAAGCCUUAUGUAUGUCUUGCUCCGAUGUCAUUGCGACAUAUUCAUAUGCUCGCCAUAACACUUCCAAGCAUGUAUCUGCCGUUUACAAAGUCGCAAAUGUAUUCAAUGUAUACAACAAUAACUUCCCGAUGAUAGUAAAAGGGGACUAUUUACCUACAUAUCAAGGGAACAUAAUUUGAUGCGAUAAAAAUAUGCGACAGAAGAAAAAAUAUCGCUCCAACAGCACAUAUAUUAAAACAAAAAUUGAUAUAACUAAUAAAAUGGUAAUAUUAAAAUAAAUUUGCAUGAUAAUUUUUUUUCUUUAAAUUUUUAUAACCUUAUUAUUUUAUAUAUAUAUAUAUAUAUAUAUAUAUUAAUUUUUGGUUACAACAAAAAUAACAUAAACACUCUAUCAAUAAUUAAGUUAAGAAAGCAUAAAAUUAAUUAAGCUUAAUCUUUAGUAUAUUUAAUAAUCCAAUAAAGAAAAUUUAAAAACACAUUGAAAUAUCAACACCGUUUGAUUUCCAUCAAACAAAAGCACUUGAAAUCUCAACUCCAUGAGACACACAAUUUCACAAAAUCUCAAAUCUCUUAUCCAACCCAAGUGAGAUAACAAAACACAAAGUAUCAUAAAUCACCACCAAUAACAACAAUCCAUCUCAGCAUCUUUACUUCUCUCACCUUAUCCAAAAUCCAUUUUCCCACCACCAAUUUCUCUCCACACAGAAUCUAAAAACCUUCUCUUCUUCUCUUUCCAAUAUCAUCACACAAAUCAAAUCCAUCACACACAAACACCAUUCUUUUUUCCUCACAAAAAAAUGUCUCUCACCAUUCCAACUAACCUCUCGAAACCCACCUCAACCCUAAGACCCAAACUCACCCAAAAACCAAAACUCUCCACCAUCAUCCACUGCAGCACAAACCAAACCCCAAACAAUCAAACCGACCAUGCAAACUCAAAUCUAAAAGCCUUCUCCGCUGCACUAGCCCUCUCCUCAAUCCUCAUCUCAUCCCCACUCCCGGCCGUCGCCGACAUCUCCGGCUUAACCCCAUGCAAAGAAUCAAAACAGUUCGCCAAACGCGAAAAACAGUCAAUCAAAAAACUCGAGUCCUCC
Molecule: long non-coding RNA, 6160 nt
Filed under: Lathyrus oleraceus (garden pea)
Lineage: Eukaryota; Viridiplantae; Streptophyta; Magnoliopsida; Fabales; Fabaceae
Description: Pisum sativum (pea) long non-coding RNA (PSAT_LNC003399)
Source: RNAcentral